RNAcentral lists this non-coding RNA (29 nucleotides) under Mus musculus (house mouse). The record is from RNAcentral. Lineage: Eukaryota; Metazoa; Chordata; Mammalia; Rodentia; Muridae.
UGAUUAGACUUCAUCAAGGCCGCCAUGGG